CAGUCGCCACGGGAAUACAGAGGGUGCAAGCGUUAAUCGGAAUUACUGGGCGUAAAGCGCGCGUAGGUGGUUUGUUAAGUUGGAUGUGAAAUCCCCGGGCUCAACCUGGGAACUGCAUCCAAAACUGGCAAGCUAGAGUAUGGUAGAGGGUGGUGGAAUUUCCUGUGUAGCGGUGAAAUGCGUAGAUAUAGGAAGGAACACCAGUGGCGAAGGCGACCACCUGGACUGAUACUGACACUGAGGUGCGAAAGCGUGGGGAGCAAACAGGAUUAGAUACCCCCGUAGUCCCUGUCUCUUAUCC
This 301-nucleotide ribosomal RNA is filed under the name uncultured bacterium. RNAcentral's name for it is "partial 16S ribosomal RNA". It matches the Rfam family "Bacterial small subunit ribosomal RNA", at positions 509 to 809 of the family's 1533-position model. The record is from RNAcentral.